CAAUAGCGUAUAUUAAAGUUGUUGCAGUUAAAAAGCUCGUAGUUGGAUUUCUGGCAGGAGCGACCGGUCCGCCGCAAGGUGUGCACUAGGUUGUCUCCAGUCAUCUUUGUGGGAACUGCUCUGGCAUUAGGUUGUCGGGGUUAGGGAACACAUCGUUUACUGUGAAAAAAUUAGAGUGUUUAAAGCAGGCUUAUGCCGUUGAAUACAUUAGCAUGGAAUAAUAAGAUAGGACUUUGGUGGUCUAUUUUGUUGGUUUGCACACCAAGGUAAAUGAUUAAUAGGGAUAGUUGGGGGCGAUUCGUAUUUAACUUAGUCAGAGGUGAAAUUACUUGGAUUUGUUUAAAGAACGGACUACUGCGAAAGACAUUUGUCCAAGGAAUGUUUUCUAUUGAUCAAGAAACGAAAGUUAAGGGGAGUCGAAGAACGAUCAGAUACCAU
Molecule: ribosomal RNA, 438 nt
Filed under: uncultured eukaryote
Lineage: Eukaryota
Description: bacterial SSU rRNA
Rfam family: Eukaryotic small subunit ribosomal RNA
Source: RNAcentral